AACGAACGCUGGCGGCAUGCCUAACACAUGCAAGUCGAACGAGACCUUCGGGUCUAGUGGCGCACGGGUGCGUAACGCGUGGGAACCUGCCCUUAGGUUCGGAAUAACUCCCCGAAAGGGGUGCUAAUACCAGAUAAUGUCUUCGGACCAAAGAUUUAUCGCCUUUGGAUGGGCCCGCGUUGGAUUAGCUAGUUGGUAGGGUAAAAGCCUACCAAGGCGACGAUCCAUAGCUGGUCUGAGAGGAUGAUCAGCCACACUGGGACUGAGACACGGCCCAGACUCCUACGGGAGGCAGCAGUGGGGAAUAUUGGACAAUGAGCGAAAGCCUGAUCCAGCAAUGCCGCGUGAGUGAUGAAGGCCGUAGGGUUGUAAAGCUCUUUUACCCGGGGUGAUAAUGACAGUAUCGGGAGAAUAAGCUCCGGCUAACUCCGCG
This 433-nucleotide ribosomal RNA is filed under the name uncultured bacterium. RNAcentral describes it as "partial 16S ribosomal RNA". It matches the Rfam family "Bacterial small subunit ribosomal RNA", at positions 29 to 507 of the family's 1533-position model. The record is from RNAcentral.